UUAAGUUUUUAUUUCCGGAAAACAAAAAUUCAGUAAUUCAGUGUACAAAAAAAAAAUUGGUUUCAAGUUAAAAAUUUGUUUGUUACUUUUUGGACACACGAACUCAAAGAAUGACUUUUGGGGAGGGAAGGCGGCUCUUCAAAUAAAGAAAGGCGAUAGUGAAGGUACCGGGAUAUCCGAGCAAAUACUCCCCCAGUUCGGAUUCCCAGUGGCUUGCAUCAAUAUUAAUAAUCACUAUAUUAAGCACUAUAUUAAGCACAGAGAAAGGGAAGGAAGGAAAUGGAAGGAUGGUGAUCCUUCAGACGAAGGAAGGACAUCGUGAUGGUACCUGGAAUAUCCGAUCAGUUAUUCCCUUAGUUCGGAUUCCCAGUGGCUUGCAUCAAUAUUAAUAAUCACUAUAUUAAGCAUUAUAUUAAGCACAGAGAAAGGGAAGGAUGGUGAUCCUUCAGACGAAGGAAGGACAUCGUGAUGGUACCUGGAAUAUCCGAUCAGUUAUUCCCUCAGUUCGGAUAUACAGUGGCUCGCAUCAAUACCAAAUAAAAAUUAUGCAACGAGAUCAAAACCGAAUAAAUUAAUCCACACACAGAUUUGAAUUUAGUA
Long non-coding RNA from Drosophila persimilis, 600 nucleotides. RefSeq lists it as uncharacterized. The transcript is spliced from 4 exons. NCBI's taxonomy places the organism in Eukaryota, Metazoa, Arthropoda, Insecta, Diptera, Drosophilidae. The record is from RefSeq and is a predicted model, not a curated record.